GAUGAACGCUAGCUACAGGCUUAACACAUGCAAGUCGAGGGGAAACGACACCGAAAGCUUGCUUUUGAUGGGCGUCGACCGGCGCACGGGGGAGUAACGCGUAUCCAACCUGCCCACCACUUGGGGAUAACCUUGCGAAAGUAAGACUAAUACCCAAUGAUAUCUCUAGAAGACAUCUGAAGGAGAUUAAAGAUUUAUCGGUGAUGGAUGGGGAUGCGUCUGAUUAGCUUGUUGGCGGGGUAACGGCCCACCAAGGCGACGAUCAGUAGGGGUUCUGCGAGGAAGGUCCCCCACAUUGGAAGUGAGACACGGCCCAAACUCCUACGGGUGGCAGCAGUGAGGAAUAUUAGUCAAUGGGCGAGAGCCUGAACCAGCCAAGUAGCGUGCAGGAUGACGGCCCUAUGGGUUGUAGACUGCUUUUAUAAGGGAAUAAAGUGAGUCUCGUGAGACUUUUUGCAUGUACCUUAUGAAUAAGGACCGGCUAAUUCCGUGCCAGCCGCCGCGGUAA
This 508-nucleotide ribosomal RNA is filed under the name uncultured bacterium. RNAcentral's name for it is "partial 16S ribosomal RNA". It matches the Rfam family "Bacterial small subunit ribosomal RNA", at positions 28 to 523 of the family's 1533-position model. The record is from RNAcentral.